AGACGGAGGGUGCAAGCGUUACUCGGAAUUACUGGGCGUAAAGCGUACGUAGGCGGCUUGUCAAGUUGGAUGUGAAAUCCCACAGCUUAACUGUGAGCUGCGUCCAAAACUGGCAGGCUCGAGAACAGUAGGGGACAGUGGAACUCCAGGUGGAGCGGUGAAAUGCGUAGAGAUCUGGAGGAACACCGGUGGCGAAAGCGACUGUCUGGGCUGUUGCUGACGCUGAGGUACGAAAGCUAGGGGAGCGAACGGGAUUAGAAACCCUAGUAGUCC
Molecule: ribosomal RNA, 273 nt
Filed under: uncultured bacterium
Lineage: Bacteria
Description: partial 16S ribosomal RNA
Rfam family: Bacterial small subunit ribosomal RNA
Source: RNAcentral